RNAcentral lists this signal recognition particle RNA (266 nucleotides) under Salibacterium salarium. RNAcentral's name for it is "Bacillus salarius Bacterial large signal recognition particle RNA". It matches the Rfam family "Bacterial large signal recognition particle RNA". Rfam says of the family: The signal recognition particle (SRP) is a universally conserved ribonucleoprotein involved in the co-translational targeting of proteins to membranes. Archaeal SRP consists of a 7S RNA and homologues of the eukaryotic SRP19 and SRP54 proteins. The record is from Rfam by way of RNAcentral. Lineage: Bacteria; Bacillati; Bacillota; Bacilli; Caryophanales; Bacillaceae.
CCGUGCUAGGUGGGGAGGUAGCGGUGCCCUGUACUUGCAAUCCGCUAUAGCAGGACUGAAUCCCUUCUCGAGGCUUUGUUUCCGUGGGGUCUGCCCCUUGUAAGUGGUGUUGACGUCUGGGUUCUGUGCAACGGAAACCCGCGAAUCCUGUCAGGUCCGGAAGGAAGCAGCAGUAAGCGGACUCUUCUGUGUGCCGCAGAGUCGCCUGGAUCGAGCUAACUGCUUGGGUAACGCUCAUGGAUUCAUUGCCGACAGAGGGUGCACGG